RNAcentral lists this ribosomal RNA (405 nucleotides) under Triticum aestivum (bread wheat). RNAcentral describes it as "partial small subunit ribosomal RNA". Lineage: Eukaryota; Viridiplantae; Streptophyta; Magnoliopsida; Poales; Poaceae. The record is from RNAcentral.
AUGGACGUUACGUUCAGGGAGUCUGAGCCAUUCUAUGGUGAGCCGACUGAUCUCAGUCUGCUGUUUGUAGAGCUUGACCACCUACACCCUGUGCAUGAUGGUCAAGAGGGGGAGAAGGAUGUGUCUCAUACUCACGGGGAUUCUGUGGACAUUAACGCUGAUAAUGAUGUGCAGGUUCAGGUUCAACCAAUAGUGGGUACAAUUCCGGUUAGUACCAUCACUGAUGAUGAUGUGCAGGCUCAUGUCGAGCCAACUGUCGAUACACUUAAGAUUGGUGCUCUUCAGGUUCCUGUUCGGGAUCGAUGGCAAAACGAAUACCCUGGUGUACUCUCGACGGCAACCACAAGCGCAGGGGGAGCAGCAAGGCGGGGAGGCAAGAGUGCAGGGGGAGCAGCAAGGCAGUGA